This 1776-nucleotide ribosomal RNA is filed under the name Vibrio cholerae. Its description in RNAcentral is "partial 23S ribosomal RNA". It matches the Rfam family "Bacterial large subunit ribosomal RNA", at positions 1167 to 2925 of the family's 2925-position model. The record is from RNAcentral. Lineage: Bacteria; Pseudomonadati; Pseudomonadota; Gammaproteobacteria; Vibrionales; Vibrionaceae.
AAGAUGUAACGGGGCUAAGCAAUACACCGAAGCUGCGGCAAUAUCUUUUAGAUAUUGGGUAGGGGAGCGUUCUGUAAGCCGUUGAAGGUGAAUCGUAAGGUUUGCUGGAGGUAUCAGAAGUGCGAAUGCUGACAUGAGUAACGACAAAGGGGGUGAAAAACCUCCUCGCCGGAAGACCAAGGGUUCCUGUCCAACGUUAAUCGGGGCAGGGUGAGUCGACCCCUAAGGUGAGGCCGAAAGGCGUAAUCGAUGGGAAACGGGUUAAUAUUCCCGUACUUCUGACUAUUGCGAUGGGGGGACGGAGAAGGCUAGGUGGGCCAGGCGACGGUUGUCCUGGUUCAAGUGCGUAGGCUUGAGAGUUAGGUAAAUCCGGCUCUCUCUAAGGCUGAGACACGACGUCGAGCUACUACGGUAGUGAAGUCAUUGAUGCCAUGCUUCCAGGAAAAGCCUCUAAGCUUCAGAUAGUCAGGAAUCGUACCCCAAACCGACACAGGUGGUCGGGUAGAGAAUACCAAGGCGCUUGAGAGAACUCGGGUGAAGGAACUAGGCAAAAUGGUACCGUAACUUCGGGAGAAGGUACGCUCUUGAUGGUGAAGUCCCUCGCGGAUGGAGCUGACGAGAGUCGCAGAUACCAGGUGGCUGCAACUGUUUAUUAAAAACACAGCACUGUGCAAAAUCGCAAGAUGACGUAUACGGUGUGACGCCUGCCCGGUGCCGGAAGGUUAAUUGAUGGGGUUAGCGCAAGCGAAGCUCUUGAUCGAAGCCCCGGUAAACGGCGGCCGUAACUAUAACGGUCCUAAGGUAGCGAAAUUCCUUGUCGGGUAAGUUCCGACCUGCACGAAUGGCGUAAUGAUGGCCACGCUGUCUCCACCCGAGACUCAGUGAAAUUGAAAUCGCUGUGAAGAUGCAGUGUACCCGCGGCUAGACGGAAAGACCCCGUGAACCUUUACUACAGCUUGGCACUGAACAUUGAACCUACAUGUGUAGGAUAGGUGGGAGGCUAUGAAGACGUGACGCCAGUUGCGUUGGAGCCGUCCUUGAAAUACCACCCUUGUAUGUUUGAUGUUCUAACUUAGACCCAUUAUCUGGGUUGAGGACAGUGCCUGGUGGGUAGUUUGACUGGGGCGGUCUCCUCCCAAAGAGUAACGGAGGAGCACGAAGGUGGGCUAAUCACGGUUGGACAUCGUGAGGUUAGUGCAAUGGCAUAAGCCCGCUUAACUGCGAGAAUGACGGUUCGAGCAGGUGCGAAAGCAGGUCAUAGUGAUCCGGUGGUUCUGUAUGGAAGGGCCAUCGCUCAACGGAUAAAAGGUACUCCGGGGAUAACAGGCUGAUACCGCCCAAGAGUUCAUAUCGACGGCGGUGUUUGGCACCUCGAUGUCGGCUCAUCACAUCCUGGGGCUGAAGUCGGUCCCAAGGGUAUGGCUGUUCGCCAUUUAAAGUGGUACGCGAGCUGGGUUUAGAACGUCGUGAGACAGUUCGGUCCCUAUCUGCCGUGGGCGUUGGAAGAUUGAAGGGGGCUGCUCCUAGUACGAGAGGACCGGAGUGGACGAACCUCUGGUGUUCGGGUUGUGUCGCCAGACGCAUUGCCCGGUAGCUAAGUUCGGAAUUGAUAAGCGCUGAAAGCAUCUAAGCGCGAAGCGAGCCCUGAGAUGAGUCUUCCCUGACAGUUUAACUGUCCUAAAGGGUUGUUCGAGACUAGAACGUUGAUAGGCAGGGUGUGUAAGCGUUGUGAGGCGUUGAGCUAACCUGUACUAAUUGCCCGUGAGGCUUAACCAU